Molecule: long non-coding RNA, 1381 nt
Organism: Mesocricetus auratus (golden hamster)
Lineage: Eukaryota; Metazoa; Chordata; Mammalia; Rodentia; Cricetidae
Exons: 3
Source: RefSeq, a predicted model, not a curated record
AACCGCAUAGGGUAGGAAGCCCGGGACUAUUCUCCGGUCUUGAAGACCCUCAGAGACCACAAGGAGACAGACUUCACCAAACCUCAAACACAAGGUUUUAUUGUUUAAUUCUACCAGUAGUGAGCUCGUCCAGCCAGCUGACACAGCAGCUACCUGGAGGAAGUCAAGUCCCUCGUCUAUUGCCAGAAUUUAAAUGAAAAAACAAAUUACAGAAUUACAUAAGGUUAGUCAUCCAACAGCACAUAGAAUGGAGAUGAAGAAAGACAGGCAAAAUGAGGAAGAAAAGUCCCCCUUAAGCCUGGUGAAAUGAGUAUGAAGUUGACCUCGAGGGACAGAUUCACUGAGUCCAUCCAGGGCUUAUGGUGAUUUGUGUUUAACUAGAAACCACUCCAGAUGAAUGCUCUGGGUAGGACUUGGGCUUUGGGGAUACUGAUCCCCAUCAUGAUUUUGGUGCUAGAUGGGACUGGUGAGUGACAUUCUUAGAUUUUCAGGAAAUGAAAUUAUCUUUCUGGCUAACUUUAGACUAUGAUAAUCCUCCUGUGUCAGCCUCCUGACUCCUGGGAUUACAGGCAUACACCUUUGUUGCAGGCUAACAAGGCACUUUAACACUCUACAGGUUACUUUAAAGCUGAUUUUUUCAUUAAAUUUUAAAAUUAUUUUACAUGCUAAGCAGUUUCCCCUCUCCUCUCCUCAUGUUCCCUCCCUGCACACCUCCUUUCACCUCCCUCCUCCCUCCAUCCACUCCUCAGAAAGGAUCAGGCCUCCCAUGGAGAGUCAUAAAGCCUGGCAUAUUAAGUUGAGGCAGGACCAAACUUCUCCCUGCAUCAAAGCUGAGCUUUUCUACAGGUAUUCCAUGGGAUAGAUUAUUCUAUUCUAUUAGUCGUUAUGGUGAAUUUGAAGAUUAGUGGCUGCUUGAAAAGAAAUGCUUUGCUAGACUUCUUGCUUGUCCCAUCUUUAAGGUUGAAACAUAUCAAAAGACAAAAGCAAACAAACAAAACCACAAACAAACAAACAAAAACGAGAAAAACCUCUGAGAAGCGAAGCAGUGCAAUCCAGAGUAAAGUGGAGGCGCUGAACUUAGCCAGGAAGGGACAGUCCUCCAGGAUAAUAAGGGAAAGAGGGACAUGGUGGCCUGGAUGCAGGUCAGCUUAUAGACUGGUGUCACCGAUUGUGGAGCCUGUCUUCUUGAUUUUUAAUUUAAAUUAAAAACAAUCCUAUUUUGCAUACCAAUCUCUGUUUUAUUUCCUUACCAUCCUCCCAUUCCCCCACCAUCUCUCCAUCCCAUGCCCCAUUCACUCCUCAGAGAGGGGGAGGCCUCCCAUGGGGGGAAUCAUCAAAGAAAGUCUGUAACCUCAUUUGAGGCAGGACCAAGGCCCUCCCC